RNAcentral lists this ribosomal RNA (348 nucleotides) under uncultured Ammonifex sp. Its description in RNAcentral is "bacterial SSU rRNA". It matches the Rfam family "Bacterial small subunit ribosomal RNA", at positions 97 to 437 of the family's 1533-position model. The record is from RNAcentral. Lineage: Bacteria; Bacillati; Bacillota; Clostridia; Thermoanaerobacterales; Thermoanaerobacteraceae.
GGCGUAGGGGGGAAUAACACGUGGGUAACCUAUCCUUGAGUUCGGGAUAUCCUCUCGAAAGGGAGGCUAAUACCGGAUACGUUCCUCGGGUUGCGAAAUCUGGGGAGGAAAGGUGGCGCAGGCUGCCGCUUUUGGAGGGACUCGCGGCCUAUCAGCUAGUUGGUGAGGUAACGGCUCACCAAGGCGAUGACGGGUAGCUGGUCUGAGAGGACGACCAGCCACACGGGAACUGAGACACGGUCCCGACUCCUACGGGAGGCAGCAGUGGGGAAUUUUCCGCAAUGGGCGAAAGCCUGACGGAGUGACGCCGCGUGGGGGACGAAGGCCUUCGGGUCGUAAACCCCUGUC